AUGAAAUCUGCUCAAAUACUUCACAGGAGUCUGUCUGCGGCAAGCAGCAAUUAUCUAGACAUAUCCACCAGUCAAACUCAGUUAGAAAUAAAAAGAAAACAUACCAACAGGUAUCAGUAUGUGUGGCUUGGGUACGUAGUCAGACAGAAAUGCGAGUUUAAAGGUUUAAGUGGCUGCUUCCUAGCUCCACGUCACUGUGCUACAGGUCAGAUGUGAUUCGGAAGUGAUUAUGCACCAGGAAGGAGUAGAUCAUUUUGCUAGUCCUACUAAGAGGAGAAGCCCCACAUUGUAGCUCCUUCAGAGAAUCCUUGUGGGUCACGAACUGUAGCUCCUCUAUGAAGGCAAUGGCAGGGCAG
Acipenser ruthenus (sterlet) is the source of this 356-nucleotide long non-coding RNA. RefSeq lists it as uncharacterized. The transcript has 3 exons. The record is from RefSeq and is a predicted model, not a curated record. NCBI's taxonomy places the organism in Eukaryota, Metazoa, Chordata, Actinopteri, Acipenseriformes, Acipenseridae.